RNAcentral lists this ribosomal RNA (235 nucleotides) under uncultured bacterium. RNAcentral describes it as "partial 16S ribosomal RNA". It matches the Rfam family "Bacterial small subunit ribosomal RNA", at positions 100 to 334 of the family's 1533-position model. The record is from RNAcentral.
CGGGACGGGUGAGUAAUGUCUGGGAAACGUGCCUGAUGAGGGGGGAUAACUACUGGAAACGGUAGCUAAUACCGCAUAACGUCGCAAGACCAAAGAGGGGGACCUUCGGGGCCUCUUGCCAUCGGAUGUGCCCAGAUGGGAUUAGCUAGUAGGUGGGGUAACGGCUCACCUAGGCGACGAUCCCUAGCUGGUCUGAGAGGAUGACCAGCCACACUGGAACUGAGACACGGUCCAG